RNAcentral lists this unclassified non-coding RNA (200 nucleotides) under Oxyporus sp. (in: basidiomycete fungi). Its description in RNAcentral is "Oxyporus sp. (in: Fungi) partial internal transcribed spacer 2". The record is from RNAcentral. Lineage: Eukaryota; Fungi; Basidiomycota; Agaricomycetes; Hymenochaetales; Schizoporaceae.
UUAAGUUCAGCGGGUAGUCCUACCUGAUUUGAGGUCAAGCGUUAAAGAAGUCGUGUCUGAGGCACGGUAUUAGAAGCCGGCAAACACAGGCACCGAGCGGUCAGAACGGCGAUGAAGAUAAACUAUCACACCGUGAACCGUCGGGCAACUACGUGACCGAGCUAAUGCAUUCAAGGAGAGCCGAACCUAAUACAAGGCAC